RNAcentral lists this long non-coding RNA (7771 nucleotides) under Homo sapiens (human). The record is from RNAcentral. Lineage: Eukaryota; Metazoa; Chordata; Mammalia; Primates; Hominidae.
AGGCAUUGAGGCAGCCAGCGCAGGGGCUUCUGCUGAGGGGGCAGGCGGAGCUUGAGGAAACCGCAGAUAAGUUUUUUUCUCUUUGAAAGAUAGAGAUUAAUACAACUACUUAAAAAAUAUAGUCAAUAGGUUACUAAGAUAUUGCUUAGCGUUAAGUUUUUAACGUAAUUUUAAUAGCUUAAGAUUUUAAGAGAAAAUAUGAAGACUUAGAAGAGUAGCAUGAGGAAGGAAAAGAUAAAAGGUUUCUAAAACAUGACGGAGGUUGAGAUGAAGCUUCUUCAUGGAGUAAAAAAUGUAUUUAAAAGAAAAUUGAGAGAAAGGACUACAGAGCCCCGAAUUAAUACCAAUAGAAGGGCAAUGCUUUUAGAUUAAAAUGAAGGUGACUUAAACAGCUUAAAGUUUAGUUUAAAAGUUGUAGGUGAUUAAAAUAAUUUGAAGGCGAUCUUUUAAAAAGAGAUUAAACCGAAGGUGAUUAAAAGACCUUGAAAUCCAUGACGCAGGGAGAAUUGCGUCAUUUAAAGCCUAGUUAACGCAUUUACUAAACGCAGACGAAAAUGGAAAGAUUAAUUGGGAGUGGUAGGAUGAAACAAUUUGGAGAAGAUAGAAGUUUGAAGUGGAAAACUGGAAGACAGAAGUACGGGAAGGCGAAGAAAAGAAUAGAGAAGAUAGGGAAAUUAGAAGAUAAAAACAUACUUUUAGAAGAAAAAAGAUAAAUUUAAACCUGAAAAGUAGGAAGCAGAAGAAAAAAGACAAGCUAGGAAACAAAAAGCUAAGGGCAAAAUGUACAAACUUAGAAGAAAAUUGGAAGAUAGAAACAAGAUAGAAAAUGAAAAUAUUGUCAAGAGUUUCAGAUAGAAAAUGAAAAACAAGCUAAGACAAGUAUUGGAGAAGUAUAGAAGAUAGAAAAAUAUAAAGCCAAAAAUUGGAUAAAAUAGCACUGAAAAAAUGAGGAAAUUAUUGGUAACCAAUUUAUUUUAAAAGCCCAUCAAUUUAAUUUCUGGUGGUGCAGAAGUUAGAAGGUAAAGCUUGAGAAGAUGAGGGUGUUUACGUAGACCAGAACCAAUUUAGAAGAAUACUUGAAGCUAGAAGGGGAAGUUGGUUAAAAAUCACAUCAAAAAGCUACUAAAAGGACUGGUGUAAUUUAAAAAAAACUAAGGCAGAAGGCUUUUGGAAGAGUUAGAAGAAUUUGGAAGGCCUUAAAUAUAGUAGCUUAGUUUGAAAAAUGUGAAGGACUUUCGUAACGGAAGUAAUUCAAGAUCAAGAGUAAUUACCAACUUAAUGUUUUUGCAUUGGACUUUGAGUUAAGAUUAUUUUUUAAAUCCUGAGGACUAGCAUUAAUUGACAGCUGACCCAGGUGCUACACAGAAGUGGAUUCAGUGAAUCUAGGAAGACAGCAGCAGACAGGAUUCCAGGAACCAGUGUUUGAUGAAGCUAGGACUGAGGAGCAAGCGAGCAAGCAGCAGUUCGUGGUGAAGAUAGGAAAAGAGUCCAGGAGCCAGUGCGAUUUGGUGAAGGAAGCUAGGAAGAAGGAAGGAGCGCUAACGAUUUGGUGGUGAAGCUAGGAAAAAGGAUUCCAGGAAGGAGCGAGUUUCUCUUUUUCAGGCUUAUACUCAUGAAUCUUGUCUGAAGCUUUUGAGGGCAGACUGCCAAGUCCUGGAGAAAUAGUAGAUGGCAAGUUUGUGGGUUUUUUUUUUUUACACGAAUUUGAGGAAAACCAAAUGAAUUUGAUAGCCAAAUUGAGACAAUUUCAGCAAAUCUGUAAGCAGUUUGUAUGUUUAGUUGGGGUAAUGAAGUAUUUCAGUUUUGUGAAUAGAUGACCUGUUUUUACUUCCUCACCCUGAAUUCGUUUUGUAAAUGUAGAGUUUGGAUGUGUAACUGAGGCGGGGGGGAGUUUUCAGUAUUUUUUUUUGUGGGGGUGGGGGCAAAAUAUGUUUUCAGUUCUUUUUCCCUUAGGUCUGUCUAGAAUCCUAAAGGCAAAUGACUCAAGGUGUAACAGAAAACAAGAAAAUCCAAUAUCAGGAUAAUCAGACCACCACAGGUUUACAGUUUAUAGAAACUAGAGCAGUUCUCACGUUGAGGUCUGUGGAAGAGAUGUCCAUUGGAGAAAUGGCUGGUAGUUACUCUUUUUUCCCCCCACCCCCUUAAUCAGACUUUAAAAGUGCUUAACCCCUUAAACUUGUUAUUUUUUACUUGAAGCAUUUUGGGAUGGUCUUAACAGGGAAGAGAGAGGGUGGGGGAGAAAAUGUUUUUUUCUAAGAUUUUCCACAGAUGCUAUAGUACUAUUGACAAACUGGGUUAGAGAAGGAGUGUACCGCUGUGCUGUUGGCACGAACACCUUCAGGGACUGGAGCUGCUUUUAUCCUUGGAAGAGUAUUCCCAGUUGAAGCUGAAAAGUACAGCACAGUGCAGCUUUGGUUCAUAUUCAGUCAUCUCAGGAGAACUUCAGAAGAGCUUGAGUAGGCCAAAUGUUGAAGUUAAGUUUUCCAAUAAUGUGACUUCUUAAAAGUUUUAUUAAAGGGGAGGGGCAAAUAUUGGCAAUUAGUUGGCAGUGGCCUGUUACGGUUGGGAUUGGUGGGGUGGGUUUAGGUAAUUGUUUAGUUUAUGAUUGCAGAUAAACUCAUGCCAGAGAACUUAAAGUCUUAGAAUGGAAAAAGUAAAGAAAUAUCAACUUCCAAGUUGGCAAGUAACUCCCAAUGAUUUAGUUUUUUUCCCCCCAGUUUGAAUUGGGAAGCUGGGGGAAGUUAAAUAUGAGCCACUGGGUGUACCAGUGCAUUAAUUUGGGCAAGGAAAGUGUCAUAAUUUGAUACUGUAUCUGUUUUCCUUCAAAGUAUAGAGCUUUUGGGGAAGGAAAGUAUUGAACUGGGGGUUGGUCUGGCCUACUGGGCUGACAUUAACUACAAUUAUGGGAAAUGCAAAAGUUGUUUGGAUAUGGUAGUGUGUGGUUCUCUUUUGGAAUUUUUUUCAGGUGAUUUAAUAAUAAUUUAAAACUACUAUAGAAACUGCAGAGCAAAGGAAGUGGCUUAAUGAUCCUGAAGGGAUUUCUUCUGAUGGUAGCUUUUGUAUUAUCAAACAGGUAUCUCUUCGUUAUCAGAAGAGUUGCUUCAUUUCAUCUGGGAGCAGAAAACAGCAGGCAGCUGUUAACAGAUAAGUUUAACUUGCAUCUGCAGUAUUGCAUGUUAGGGAUAAGUGCUUAUUUUUAAGAGCUGUGGAGUUCUUAAAUAUCAACCAUGGCACUUUCUCCUGACCCCUUCCCUAGGGGAUUUCAGGAUUGAGAAAUUUUUCCAUCGAGCCUUUUUAAAAUUGUAGGACUUGUUCCUGUGGGCUUCAGUGAUGGGAUAGUACACUUCACUCAGAGGCAUUUGCAUCUUUAAAUAAUUUCUUAAAAGCCUCUAAAGUGAUCAGUGCCUUGAUGCCAACUAAGGAAAUUUGUUUAGCAUUGAAUCUCUGAAGGCUCUAUGAAAGGAAUAGCAUGAUGUGCUGUUAGAAUCAGAUGUUACUGCUAAAAUUUACAUGUUGUGAUGUAAAUUGUGUAGAAAACCAUUAAAUCAUUCAAAAUAAUAAACUAUUUUUAUUAGAGAAUGUAUACUUUUAGAAAGCUGUCUCCUUAUUUAAAUAAAAUAGUGUUUGUCUGUAGUUCAGUGUUGGGGCAAUCUUGGGGGGGAUUCUUCUCUAAUCUUUCAGAAACUUUGUCUGCGAACACUCUUUAAUGGACCAGAUCAGGAUUUGAGCGGAAGAACGAAUGUAACUUUAAGAGGCAUUUCAUCCUUCAUGAAGCCAUUCAGGAUUUUGAAUUGCAUAUGAGUGCUUGGCUCUUCCUUCUGUUCUAACUUCACAGAGAAUGCAGUUGUCUUGACUUCAGGUCUGUCUGUUCUGUUGGCAAGUAAAUGCAGUACUGUUCUGAUCCCGCUGCUAUUAGAAUGCAUUGUGAAACGACUGGAGUAUGAUUAAAAGUUGUGUUCCCCAAUGCUUGGAGUAGUGAUUGUUGAAGGAAAAAAUCCAGCUGAGUGAUAAAGGCUGAGUGUUGAGGAAAUUUCUGCAGUUUUAAGCAGUCGUAUUUGUGAUUGAAGCUGAGUACAUUUUGCUGGUGUAUUUUUAGGUAAAAUGCUUUUUGUUCAUUUCUGGUGGUGGGAGGGGACUGAAGCCUUUAGUCUUUUCCAGAUGCAACCUUAAAAUCAGUGACAAGAAACAUUCCAAACAAGCAACAGUCUUCAAGAAAUUAAACUGGCAAGUGGAAAUGUUUAAACAGUUCAGUGAUCUUUAGUGCAUUGUUUAUGUGUGGGUUUCUCUCUCCCCUCCCUUGGUCUUAAUUCUUACAUGCAGGAACACUCAGCAGACACACGUAUGCGAAGGGCCAGAGAAGCCAGACCCAGUAAGAAAAAAUAGCCUAUUUACUUUAAAUAAACCAAACAUUCCAUUUUAAAUGUGGGGAUUGGGAACCACUAGUUCUUUCAGAUGGUAUUCUUCAGACUAUAGAAGGAGCUUCCAGUUGAAUUCACCAGUGGACAAAAUGAGGAAAACAGGUGAACAAGCUUUUUCUGUAUUUACAUACAAAGUCAGAUCAGUUAUGGGACAAUAGUAUUGAAUAGAUUUCAGCUUUAUGCUGGAGUAACUGGCAUGUGAGCAAACUGUGUUGGCGUGGGGGUGGAGGGGUGAGGUGGGCGCUAAGCCUUUUUUUAAGAUUUUUCAGGUACCCCUCACUAAAGGCACCGAAGGCUUAAAGUAGGACAACCAUGGAGCCUUCCUGUGGCAGGAGAGACAACAAAGCGCUAUUAUCCUAAGGUCAAGAGAAGUGUCAGCCUCACCUGAUUUUUAUUAGUAAUGAGGACUUGCCUCAACUCCCUCUUUCUGGAGUGAAGCAUCCGAAGGAAUGCUUGAAGUACCCCUGGGCUUCUCUUAACAUUUAAGCAAGCUGUUUUUAUAGCAGCUCUUAAUAAUAAAGCCCAAAUCUCAAGCGGUGCUUGAAGGGGAGGGAAAGGGGGAAAGCGGGCAACCACUUUUCCCUAGCUUUUCCAGAAGCCUGUUAAAAGCAAGGUCUCCCCACAAGCAACUUCUCUGCCACAUCGCCACCCCGUGCCUUUUGAUCUAGCACAGACCCUUCACCCCUCACCUCGAUGCAGCCAGUAGCUUGGAUCCUUGUGGGCAUGAUCCAUAAUCGGUUUCAAGGUAACGAUGGUGUCGAGGUCUUUGGUGGGUUGAACUAUGUUAGAAAAGGCCAUUAAUUUGCCUGCAAAUUGUUAACAGAAGGGUAUUAAAACCACAGCUAAGUAGCUCUAUUAUAAUACUUAUCCAGUGACUAAAACCAACUUAAACCAGUAAGUGGAGAAAUAACAUGUUCAAGAACUGUAAUGCUGGGUGGGAACAUGUAACUUGUAGACUGGAGAAGAUAGGCAUUUGAGUGGCUGAGAGGGCUUUUGGGUGGGAAUGCAAAAAUUCUCUGCUAAGACUUUUUCAGGUGAACAUAACAGACUUGGCCAAGCUAGCAUCUUAGCGGAAGCUGAUCUCCAAUGCUCUUCAGUAGGGUCAUGAAGGUUUUUCUUUUCCUGAGAAAACAACACGUAUUGUUUUCUCAGGUUUUGCUUUUUGGCCUUUUUCUAGCUUAAAAAAAAAAAAAGCAAAAGAUGCUGGUGGUUGGCACUCCUGGUUUCCAGGACGGGGUUCAAAUCCCUGCGGCGUCUUUGCUUUGACUACUAAUCUGUCUUCAGGACUCUUUCUGUAUUUCUCCUUUUCUCUGCAGGUGCUAGUUCUUGGAGUUUUGGGGAGGUGGGAGGUAACAGCACAAUAUCUUUGAACUAUAUACAUCCUUGAUGUAUAAUUUGUCAGGAGCUUGACUUGAUUGUAUAUUCAUAUUUACACGAGAACCUAAUAUAACUGCCUUGUCUUUUUCAGGUAAUAGCCUGCAGCUGGUGUUUUGAGAAGCCCUACUGCUGAAAACUUAACAAUUUUGUGUAAUAAAAAUGGAGAAGCUCUAAAUUGUUGUGGUUCUUUUGUGAAUAAAAAAAUCUUGAUUGGGGAAAAAAGAUGGGUGUUCUGUGGGCUUGUUCUGUUAAAUCUGUGGUCUAUAAACACAGCACCCAUAAUUACAGCAUAAUCUUCAAGUAGGGUACGGACUUUGGGGGAUUGGUGCGAGGGUAGUGGGUGAGUGGCCUACUAAAAAGCCCAGUAACCCCCACAGGAAAAUAGGGAACUUCUUUUUAAGUAGCCUCCUUUCCACUAUUUAGUAAUUGGCUGUGAGCUGGGCUGGGGGAGAAAUGGGGCGGGGUGUGUGUGUCAUUGGAAAGCUCUCUUUUUUGUUUUUUUGAGACAGUCUCACUUUGUCCCCCAGGCUGGAGUGUAGUGGCAUGAUCUCUGCAAACUGCAACCUCCACUUCUGGGGUCCAAGUGGUUGUCCUGCUUCACCCUCCCUGUAGCUGGGACUACAGGUGCACACCACCACGCCUGGCUAAUUUUUGUAUUUUCAGUUAGAGACGUGGUUUUACCAUAUUGGCCAGGCUGGUCUCAAACUCCUGACCUCGUGUGAUCCACCCGCCUGGGCCUCUGAAAGUGCUGGGAUUACAGGUGUGAGCCACCAAGCCUGGCCGAUCCUUUUAAGUUUUUAAACCAGUUAAGCUCUUUGGUUCCCCCUCAGAGUCCCAAGGUCCUGGGUCACUCAGGAUCACAUUUUCCUUUAAUCAGUUGUCACUGGUCCCCUUUUGUCCCUUUGAACGUGCUGUGGGAUUAGUAGCAGCAUCUGGCUGUUGGAAGGACUGGCUGGGAUCUCAGGUGAAAUACCCUCCCUGGCCCUCCUUACCCUUAAGAUCUCCCUGAAAAGUCAGACCUUGCUUAUUGGAGUUUGAGAUGCAUUCUAGUAAACCCAGACCUACCAGAGAGAGGGACCCACGUCUGAAGAAUCUUCCAGCCUGGGGAACCUGUGACUGGCCACACCCUUAGCCUAAUGGAGGGGCCUCAGAAGCAGAACUACCUUUUUUUUUUUUUUUAAUGGUAUUACAUUUUGCAAAUGGAGAGGUAGACUCUGAUUGGGCCCCUUUUGACAACGCAGCAGAGCUGAGGUUUGAAUCCUAGUCAGUCAACACUUCAACCCCUAUGUUGCUGUUUCUUCAAUGUCUAGAAUGUUCUGAUAGAUGAAGCAAUGGCCCGGCAGGUCAGCAGCACACCAACCCCCAACCUACCCAGCCUGUAUAGGCCUUGGCCACAGGAGCUUUCUCUUCCCUUGAAGUGAUCUAAUGGGGGAUGGGGUAUCUGUCUCGCUGGUUAUGAAAGAAGCUGAGCUAGGUGCUCUCCUAAGUUGCUUAAGUGUCUUCUGAAUUGAUGCCCAGUCAGUUUCGUAUGGAGAAAGGUCUCUGUUUUUCCAAAGCAGAAGGUUCUGUGGAAGCACAAAUACUUUACUGGAGAGCAAAGGAGUACGAGUAGGAAUUGGGGGCCACGCACAGUGGCUCACGCCUAUAAUCCCAGGACUUUGGGAGGCCGAGGUGGGCAGAUCACCUGAGGUCAGGAGUUCGAGACCAGCCUGACCAACAUGGAGAAACCCCAUCUCUACUAAAAAUACAAAAUUAGCCGGGCGUGGUGGCGUAUGUCUGUAACCCCAGCUAUUCGAGAGGCUGAGGUAGGAGAAUCGCUUGGACCCGGGAGGCGGAGGUUGCAGUGAGCUGAGAUUGCGCCACUGCACUCCAGCCUGGGCAACAAGAGCGAAACUGUCUCAAAAAAAAAAAAAAAAGAAGAAGAAAGGCUGGGCACGGUGGCUCAAGCCUGUAAUCCCAGCACUUUGGGAGGCCGA